UGGCCAAAAAGUUCGUUGGGGUUUUUCCAUAAGAUGGUAUGGAAAAACCGGAAUGAAUUUUUUGGCCAA
Molecule: microRNA precursor, 69 nt
Organism: Tursiops truncatus (common bottlenose dolphin)
Lineage: Eukaryota; Metazoa; Chordata; Mammalia; Artiodactyla; Delphinidae
Source: Ensembl